RNAcentral lists this ribosomal RNA (372 nucleotides) under Alphaproteobacteria bacterium. Its description in RNAcentral is "bacterial SSU rRNA". It matches the Rfam family "Bacterial small subunit ribosomal RNA", at positions 147 to 551 of the family's 1533-position model. The record is from RNAcentral. Lineage: Bacteria; Pseudomonadati; Pseudomonadota; Alphaproteobacteria.
CCUGGGGAAACUCGGGCUAAUACCUUAUAAGCCCCUCACGGGGGAAAGAUUUAUUGCCGAUAGGUGGGCCCGCGUUGGAUUAGGUAGUUGGUGGGGUAAAAGCCUACCAAGCCGACGAUCCAUAGCUGGUCUGAGAGGACGAUCAGCCACACUGGGACUGAGACACGGCCCAGACUCCUACGGGAGGCAGCAGUGGGGAAUCUUGGACAAUGGGGGAAACCCUGAUCCAGCCAUGCCGCGUGAGUGAAGAAGGCCUUAGGGUUGUAAAGCUCUUUCGCACGUGACGAUGAUGACGGUAACGUGAGAAGAAGCCCCGGCUAACUUCGUGCCAGCAGCCGCGGUAAUACGAAGGGGGCUAGCGUUGUUCGGAAU